This is a long non-coding RNA of Siniperca chuatsi (mandarin fish), 920 nucleotides long. RefSeq lists it as uncharacterized. The transcript has 2 exons. Lineage: Eukaryota; Metazoa; Chordata; Actinopteri; Centrarchiformes; Sinipercidae. The record is from RefSeq and is a predicted model, not a curated record.
CCUUUGUUCAUUGUCAGGUCGUUGUCCCUGUUCAUGUGCAUUUUGGUUGUACUUUGUUCCUGUGUCAAGCAUCCCGGCAUUUCUUACUUGAUUUGUUUUGUUGGACUUGUUUCCUGGUUUUGACCGCUGCCUGCCCGUGGUUGUUCCCUGUCGGUGGUUGCGGCCACCAUGUCCUCUGGUGUCUGCGGGCCGCCCUUCCUGAUCUACCUGCUGCACCACACGAGCCAGCCGCCCUUCCUGUCUGGCCUGCUUCAUCACACGAGCCAGCUGCUUUAGUUCUGCCAAUCACGCUACACCAGCCAAGCCAGAACCUAUACUCACCGUCUCCGUCCUCUGAGUCCAGUCAGUUCUCCACGGACUGUGACUACUAACGUCACUACUGGCUAUAGCAGACUACACUGGAAUCACCCGCUUUUGAAGAGCACUUAUCAACCUGUCAUUGCCGUAUUUAAAUAAAGACUGUCACUACUACUACUAUCCAGUUCUCCACUUUCCUGUGUUCUGCAUUUGGGUCCUUAGCUUGUGAACCAUAACAAUUGCAGCUCUUCAAUGGUGUUUGUGUAGUUUACCUCCUGAAUCCUACUGCGUUGUUUAAUUGAUGCAAGCAUUUCAUGAUUGCCUACAAAUUGCUUUGUAUUAUUUAAUAUCUGUAAUAAUUACUUUAAUUUGUAAGGUUAUAUAAUGCCUGUGGUGCAUGUGUAUGUCUGUGGGUGUGUACUGAUGUGUAAAAGUUAAUGGAGGUUGUUUUAUUUUGUCAUUGUUUGUGAGAUGGAGGUGAAACCAAUUUCAGGUAAUUGGAAUCAUUAAUUGAAAUUUAUGUUGCCACUUAAAUUCCCUUCUACAACCUUUAUUUGGCCAAUUAGAGGAAUAAAUGUGUGCUUUAAGUUUCAAAGUGAAAAGCAUAAAAUCCUAUAAAUUCA